This is a long non-coding RNA of Cucurbita maxima (winter squash), 1014 nucleotides long. RefSeq lists it as uncharacterized. The record is from RefSeq and is a predicted model, not a curated record. The transcript has 2 exons. NCBI's taxonomy places the organism in Eukaryota, Viridiplantae, Streptophyta, Magnoliopsida, Cucurbitales, Cucurbitaceae.
CAAGGCAAGAAUCUUCGAAACCUCUCUCGGUGCUGGAAAAGGAGUUUGGGUGGUGGAUUCACUCAUUCUGGCAAGAAAAUCCGAGAACGGACAACGAGAGAGAAAGAGACCGCUAUGCGUCGACCGACGAACGGAAGAGCGCGGCGGAGCCGGCGUGCGUCACGUGGUAGCGUUCCACUGGUGCGCUGAGUCGGGUUGACCCGUACACCCGCCGAACCGGUCCGAAAACCCGCGGUCCAACCCGACGUUUCCUGCCAAACACUGUGCGCCACGUGUCGCGCUCAUAAAAUUUGAAGGUAAGUCUGCGGCCGCUAGGUUCGAAAUGCGGCACUGCCCACGCGUGUGCCUAGCGCAUGUGGGCGUGUGCCAGCGCGUGUGAGGACCUGCUGGUGCGUGGGACCCCAUUCUCUCACCCGUUUGGCCUUCGUUUGCUUGUUUUUCGCCCCAAUUUCAACUCUGAUCCUAUUUUUAUGUGAAUUAGGACCUAUCAAGGAAAUUACAGAAUUUUUGGAACCUUUUCCGGCAAAUAAUUCGAGCUUGGGAAGGCACGCGUCAACCAAAUAAGUAACCAUUUGGAUUCCCACGAGCAGUACUUGUAGGAACCGCUUGGAAUAAGCAUGCAUGCUAUCAUACUCAUAAACCUAGCUGACCGAACCUAGCAUAUUAGUAUAGAAACCAUGAAAAUGAAAUAAAUAAGGAAAUCUAUGGCUUCUAGUUAUGAAUGAUGAUGUAAUCUGUUUACAUUGAGAUUCUGAUAAUGUAGGUAUGCAUGAGGAGGAUGGGAAACUUGUGAAAUCUGCGCUCCGGGUGAAGAUGGAUGUUAUCUUCCCGUUGAGCAUGUUUGUUAAUAUUGCAUGAACUGCUGCAUGUUAACUCCUAUGCAUGAUGAUUGCUUGUGUUAUCUUUAUUGUUGAAUAUGAAGAAAUUAUGAGCUUAGAUUAGGGUGCUUGUGACUAAGUAGGCUAGACGAGACCCUAGAUUGGGGAACCUCUAGAAUACCAUGCAUUUAGACCC